RNAcentral lists this small nucleolar RNA (132 nucleotides) under Sander lucioperca (pikeperch). Lineage: Eukaryota; Metazoa; Chordata; Actinopteri; Perciformes; Percidae. The record is from RNAcentral.
CCGCACUGUUCGUAACCUGGUUCAGUCUCAGUGUGAACUCUGGGUUCCAUUCCAGUGCCAUAGUGAAUUCCAGUGAGGCAGGGGAGCAGUGCCUGUUUGUGCUCGCUCCCUGUUCACUCUCUGGGAACAUUU